ACCGGGGCUGCGGACCGGCGCCGUGGGGACGGCUGCGCGGGGAUCUGGGUGCCUCGGGAGGGAAGUGGCGGCCCCAGGAGGCCCUGGCUGAGAGAGGUUUGGGGCCACUGAGACCCCUAGGGGUCGCGGAGUGUCGGCGAGCUGUGGAGCGAGAAGCCUGGCCGCCUCGCGGACCGACUCGGGGUCGACAACGCCCACACCUGGCGUCCGCGGGAGGCGCCGAACUUGGCGGCCCCGAAGGAGCCCCAGCAGUCGGAGGAAACCGAGACCCAAAGAGGAGAAAAAAUCCACAAUACAUACUUCUGGGGAUUUUCCAUAUUGAUGGAAGAAAAUGUUCAGGAUACCAAAGUGAAUCCCAUUGAAGGCAUGUAUUAGCAUUAAUUUCUCCUAACUAUUGAAAUGAAGCCUGUGUGGUUCUUUCUCCCCUUAAGAUGUUCAGCAAAAAUCCUGAAACUCUGAAAGAUGAUUGAUGUAGAAACAUGCUAGAGUUAACCUUAUUUUAAAAACAAUAACUAUGCAUAACAGAUGGCUUUCCCAACCAGUGAGACUCCCUGCACUGAGGCUCUUCUCACAGGAACUUCUGAAUUCUGAACAAGGUCUGACAAGGUACUGCAGGUAGCAAAAUAUUGUGUGAGAAGUUAAUGACAUUUCAUCUUGGUGUCUGCUGAAGGCCAAUCUAGGAUUCCUCUGAAAACUGGCAUGUCAGGUGACUAAACCUUGGGAGUCUUUGUGGGGAGGUUGUUGGUGUUGUCCUGUCUAAGGGACCUAAGGUCAUUGAGUUAGAGCAUCUCAAGGAACUUUUUGUAGCCUCCACAGUAAGCAUUACAGUAUACCAUCCACAGAUAUAAAUACUCAAUAAAGAUUUGUUUAAUAGAAUUUAAUUGUUAGCAGGUCCUGAGCCUGAGCUUAACUAAAGCAGGCAGCUGCCCUUGGGAAUACAACCAAACCCUCAGGAGCCCAAAGAAAAAGAGCACAGUCAAGGUCAAGUGUCCCCAGAAAGGUCAUGCUUAUUUAGUUCAUAGCUCAAAUCAGUUGUGGUGGGCAUGAGGGUACUAAUUCCCAUUCAGAGGCACAGAAACCAUUCAGUAAAUGAAUUGAAAUAUGUAAUUGGACCUGGCCCUUUAAAGUUUUGUGGCCCUUUCAAAGCCAAAUGGAAAAAGGAAACACCGCAUCUGUUUUCUGAUUCCCUUUUCAAAGAAGCUGAAAAUAUAUUGCAAAUGAGCCCUUAGUUGUGGGUCACUAUCCUUACAAGACCUGUGUUUGGUUCCAAGGUUGGAAACUUACUCUGCCUCGCAAUCUCACCCACCUCCAACUUGAACUAGGUCUCAAAGUCUCGUUUUGACUAUAUAUUCUUUCAGCCACGUGGGAGAGAUGAGAAGAGGCUAAAUACAGCCAUAUAAAAAACAACCAUCAAACUAGAAAGCACCUUCAGGCUUAACAUCAACAAUAUGCCUCCCCUUCCCCAAUUUAUUCUGGUGUAAACUCAUCUCUAGUGUGAGGGGUUGGAGAAGACCCCAGGGAUCUGAAGAGACCAACACCCUGUACCCAUCUAGUCUCAUCUAAACGUCACCUGCGGCAACCCAUCUUAAAGUCCUCCUUUCUCCCCUCCCUGGGACACCUGAUUUGGGAGGAUGUCAGCCCUGAAUGGGUCCCACAGUCAAGCUGGGACUUGAGGGGACACCUCCAGGACAGAACCGAAAAGAAUUUGUAGGGUGUGCUGAACAUGUCUUAAUCUGGGUCUCUAGCUACAUUCUUGUUCCUACUAAAAAUCUCAGCACACUUCUAAUCAAGCAAGGCACGUCUACUUAUCUGAUGGUGCUGUCAGUGAUAGAAAACGAUCAUAUUAUGGAUUUGGCAGAGAAGAAAAAGGAGAUUUAUUUCUACUGGUUGAAGAUGUAGCUUUUCCAGAUAUGCAAAACCAGUCAGAGCAUUAAAAAAAAAAAUCAAUGAAAAGUGAUCAUGUUUUGUGAGCAGAAGAAACCAUUCUUGACUUCAGAACAAUAAGGAAGAUUAUAAGGAUCCCAAAUCCAUGGUUUAAAAAAAAAUGACAGUAGAGUGCCAGUGGGACUACCAAACUCUUACCUGCCCCCUUAAGGUGAGGCGACAUCUCCAUUUCAAUGAACUCCUUGCUUUCAGUGUUUCAAGUUCCCCCUUUCUCUUUGCUCCUUCCAAUCAUUUAUCUUUUUUUCAAUUUUGAACAUAACUAAAAAGUCUAAGUAGGGAAUUGCACAUAAUUGUAGACUCUGCACCAUUGGCAAAGUGAUGCUUCUUUCUCAGUAUUUGUAAUUAUCUGUUCCACUCUUGCUUACUCCUGGAAAAUUUAUGUAGAAUGACAGCAGUGUCCUUUAUUUCUC
Molecule: non-coding RNA, 2354 nt
Organism: Leptonychotes weddellii (Weddell seal)
Lineage: Eukaryota; Metazoa; Chordata; Mammalia; Carnivora; Phocidae
Source: RefSeq, a predicted model, not a curated record